CCCUUAGAUGUUCUGGGCUGCACGCGCGCUACACUGAAGCUAUCAACACGUUUUCCCUCCCUGAGAAGGGCGGGUAACCUUUUGAAUCAGCUUCGUGGUAGGGAUCGGGGCUUGCAAUUGUUCCCCGUGAACCAGGAAUUCCUAGUAGACGCGAGUCAUAAGCUCGCAUCGAUUAAGUCCCUGCCCUUUGUACACACCGCCCGUCGCUACUACCGAUUGAACGUUUUAGUGAGGCAUUUGGACCGACGCAUCUCAGUUUAACCGCUGGUUUGUGUUGGAAAGACUUCCAAAUUUGAGCGUUUAGAGGAAGUAAAAGUCGUAACA
Molecule: ribosomal RNA, 324 nt
Filed under: uncultured eukaryote
Lineage: Eukaryota
Description: partial 18S ribosomal RNA
Rfam family: Eukaryotic small subunit ribosomal RNA
Source: RNAcentral